Molecule: small RNA, 765 nt
Filed under: Pan troglodytes (chimpanzee)
Lineage: Eukaryota; Metazoa; Chordata; Mammalia; Primates; Hominidae
Description: processed transcript
Source: RNAcentral
GUUCUGCCCGGAUGGAAGCUGCGGCCGCGGAGUGAUGGUGGCCUCAGCGAAGAUGGGCCGGGCAGGGACCAUGGCGGUGGCAGCAGAGCUUCGAGAGCUGUGCCCAGGAGUGAACAACCAGCCCUAUCUCUGUGAGAGUGGUCACUGCUGCGGGGAGACUGGCUGCUGCACCUACUACUAUGAGCUCUGGUGGUUCUGGCUGCUCUGGACUGUCCUCAUCCUCUUUAGCUGCUGUUGCGCCUUCCGCCACCGACGAGCUAAACUCAGGCUGCAACAACAGCAGCGGCAGCGUGAAAUCAACUUGUUGGCCUAUCAUGGGGCAUGCCAUGGGGCUGGUCCUUUCCCUACCGGUUCACUGCUUGACCUUCGCCUCCUCAGCACCUUCAAGCCCCCAGCCUAUGAGGAUGUGGUUCACCGCCCAGGCACACCACCCCCGCCUUAUACUGUGGCCCCAGGCCGCCCCUUGACUGCUUCCAGUGAACAAUCCUGCUGUUCCUCCUCAUCCAGCUGCCCUGCCCACUUUGAAGGAACAAAUGUGGAAGGUGUUUCCUCCCACCAGAGUGCCCCCCAUCAUCAGGAUGGUGAGCCUGGGGCAGGGGUGACCCCUGCCCCCACACCCCCCUCCUGCCGCUAUCGCCGUUUAACUGGCGACUCCGGUAUUGAGCUCUGCCCUUGUCCUGCCUCCGGUGAGGGUGAGCCAGUCAAGGAGGUGAGGGUUAGUGCCACCCUGCCAGAUCUGGAGGACUACUCCCCGUGUGCACUGCC